AUUGAACGCUGGCGGCAGGCCUAACACAUGCAAGUCGAGCGGAUGAGGGGAGCUUGCUCCUGGAUUCAGCGGCGGACGGGUAAGUAAUGCGUAGGAAUCUGCCUGGUAGGGGGUGAUAACGUCCGGAAACGGGCGCUAAUGCCGCCUACGUCCUGAGGGAGAAAGUGGGGGAUCUUCGGACCUCGCGCUAUCAGAUGAGCCUAGGUCGGAUUAGCUAGGUGGUGGGGUAAAGGCCUACCAAGGCGACGAGCCGUAAGUGAUCUGAGAGGAUGAUCAGUCACACUGGAAGUGGAACACGGUCCCGACUACUACGGGAGGGCGCAGUGGGGAAUAGUGGACAGUAGUCGAGAGCCUGAUCCAGCCAUGCCGCGUGUGUGAAGAAGGUCUUCCGAUUGUAAAGCAGUUUAAGUUGGGAGAAGGGGCAGUAAGCUAAUACGUUGCUGAUUUGACGUUACCUACAGAAUAAGCACCGGCUAACUUCGUG
This 484-nucleotide ribosomal RNA is filed under the name uncultured bacterium. RNAcentral's name for it is "partial 16S ribosomal RNA". It matches the Rfam family "Bacterial small subunit ribosomal RNA", at positions 30 to 507 of the family's 1533-position model. The record is from RNAcentral.